AAACUUUACAAUGCGGGAAACCGUGAUAAGGGAACUCCGAGUGCCCGUAAACGCGGGCUGUCCAUCUGCUUAAAAAACAGGUGAAGAAAGGGCCGGGCAAGACCGGUGCCAGCCGCCGCGGUAAUACCGGCGGCUCGAGUGGUGGCCACUAUUACUGGGCUUAAAGCGUCCGUAGCUUGGUUGUUAAGUCUCUUGGGAAAUCUGUCGGCUUAACCGACAGGCGUUUAAGGGAUACUGGCAAUCUAGGGACCGGGAGAGGUGAGAGGUACUCCAGGGGUAGGAGUGAAAUCCUGUAAUCCUUGGGGGACCACCUGUGGCGUAGGCGUCUCACCAGAACGGCUCCGACAGUGAGGGACGAAAGCUGGGGGAGCAAACCGG
This 378-nucleotide ribosomal RNA is filed under the name uncultured archaeon. RNAcentral describes it as "bacterial SSU rRNA". It matches the Rfam family "Archaeal small subunit ribosomal RNA", at positions 345 to 727 of the family's 1478-position model. The record is from RNAcentral.